RNAcentral lists this long non-coding RNA (251 nucleotides) under Mytilus galloprovincialis (Mediterranean mussel). The record is from RNAcentral. Lineage: Eukaryota; Metazoa; Mollusca; Bivalvia; Mytilida; Mytilidae.
CAUUGUCAAAUAAAACCUGCGGGACUGACAUAUAGAUCAUAAUAUAUUUCCAUACACCAAAUAUAGUUGACCUAUGGCAUAUAGUAUUAGAUAAAAAGACCAUAACUCAAAGACUUAACUUUGACCACUGAACCAUGAAAAUGAGGUCAAGGUCACAUGACAUCUGCCCGCUAGACAUGUACACCUUACAAUCAUUCCAUACAACAAAUAUAGUAGACCUAUUGCAUAUAGUAUGAGAAAAACAGACCAAA